RNAcentral lists this ribosomal RNA (251 nucleotides) under uncultured prokaryote. RNAcentral's name for it is "partial 16S ribosomal RNA". It matches the Rfam family "Bacterial small subunit ribosomal RNA", at positions 524 to 774 of the family's 1533-position model. The record is from RNAcentral.
UACGGAGGAUGCAAGCGUUAUCCGGAUUUAUUGGGUUUAAAGGGUGCGCAGGUUGUUUGAUAAGUCAGUGGUGAAAGUCUGUCGCUUAACGGUAGGAUUGCCAUUGAUACUGUUGGACUUGAAUAUGGACGAGGUAGGCGGAGUGUGUAGUGUAGCAGUGAAAUGCAUAGAUAUUACACAGAACACCGAUUGCGAAGGCAGCUUACUAAUCCAUCAUUGACGCUGAGGCACGAAAGCGUGGGGAUCAAACA